Molecule: ribosomal RNA, 612 nt
Filed under: Pseudogemmobacter blasticus
Lineage: Bacteria; Pseudomonadati; Pseudomonadota; Alphaproteobacteria; Rhodobacterales; Paracoccaceae
Description: bacterial SSU rRNA
Rfam family: Bacterial small subunit ribosomal RNA
Source: RNAcentral
CGAGGACUUCGGUCCUAGCGGCGGACGGGUGAGUAACGCGUGGGAACGUGCCCUUUGCUACGGAAUAGCCCUGGGAAACUGGGAGUAAUACCGUAUGUGCCCUUUGGGGGAAAGAUUUAUCGGCAAAGGAUCGGCCCGCGUUGGAUUAGGUAGUUGGUGGGGUAAUGGCCUACCAAGCCGACGAUCCAUAGCUGGUUUGAGAGGAUGAUCAGCCACACUGGGACUGAGACACGGCCCAGACUCCUACGGGAGGCAGCAGUGGGGAAUCUUAGACAAUGGGCGCAAGCCUGAUCUAGCCAUGCCGCGUGAGCGAUGAAGGCCUUAGGGUUGUAAAGCUCUUUCAGCGAGGAAGAUAAUGACUGUACUCGCAGAAGAAGCCCCGGCUAACUCCGUGCCAGCAGCCGCGGUAAUACGGAGGGGGCUAGCGUUGUUCGGAAUUACUGGGCGUAAAGCGCACGUAGGCGGACUGGAAAGUCAGGGGUGAAAUCCCGGGGCUCAACCCCGGAACUGCCUUUGAAACUCCCAGUCUUGAGGUCGAGAGAGGUGAGUGGAAUUCCGAGUGUAGAGGUGAAAUUCGUAGAUAUUCGGAGGAACACCAGUGGCGAAGGCGGC